Molecule: ribosomal RNA, 451 nt
Filed under: uncultured bacterium
Lineage: Bacteria
Description: partial 16S ribosomal RNA
Rfam family: Bacterial small subunit ribosomal RNA
Source: RNAcentral
AACGAACGCUGGCGGCAGGCCUAACACAUGCAAGUCGAACGGACGUAGCAAUACGUUAGUGGCGCACGGGAGAGUAACGCGUGGGAACCUACCUUUUGGUUCGGGAUAGCAUCGGGAAACUGGUGCUAAUACCGGAUAAGCCCUUCGGGGGAAAGAUUUAUUGCCGAAAGAUGGGCCCGCGUUGGAUUAGCUAGUUGGUGAGGUAAUGGCUCACCAAGGCAACGAUCCAUAGCUGGUCUGAGAGGAUGAUCAGCCUCACUGGGACUGAGACACGGCCCAGACUCCUACGGGAGGCAGCAGUGGGGAAUAUUGGACAAUGGGGGAAACCCUGAUCCAGCCAUGCCGCGUGAAUGAUGAAGGCCUUCGGGUUGUAAAGUUCUUUUGGUGGGGACGAUGAUGACGGUACCCACAGAAUAAGCUCCGGCUAACUUCGUGCCAGCCGCCGCAGUAA